UUUUAAAAAUUUCAUCCAUUUGUAUUGUUAAAACUGGUGUGACUGACGAAAUAACAAAACAAUGACAUGUGACAUGCCACGUGUACCUCAUGCUGAUGUACAAGUACCAGUUUUAACAGUAGAAAUGGAUGAAAUGUUUAACA
Gossypium raimondii (Peruvian cotton) is the source of this 143-nucleotide non-coding RNA. NCBI's taxonomy places the organism in Eukaryota, Viridiplantae, Streptophyta, Magnoliopsida, Malvales, Malvaceae. The record is from Rfam.